UGGUAAGGGUCUAGCUACUCUCACCUUAGAAUCCAUAAUUUCUUCAGGGAAUCUUAAGAAGUUGGUUUUGUGGUUUGUAAAAUUGGAAAGCUUGUAAGUCUAUAUAUAUAUACAUAUAUAUAUAUAUAUAUAUAUAUAUGCUGUUUUAAGAAGCUUUGAAGUUGUGUUGAUGAUUUGUUGAAGGUAGAUUAGGGUUUUUAUUAAUUAAUGAUUUUGUAUGAUUAAGGAAGUAAGAAAAAGUUAGGAUGAGUAUUGUUGAUGCUGCUGCUAGGAUUUUUGGUUGUGCUUAUUUUGCUCUAAAUGGUUAAAUGACUGUGUUUAAGUGUUUUAUAACAUGUCUUAUGAGUGUAUAAAAAAUCCCCAUAUGAGAAUAUCAUCGUUUGAUAAUUGUUUGUGAAUUUACGAUAAAACGUUGCAAAGCUGUCACUGUGACAGAUUCUGUGUUCAUGCAUGAUAAAUUAUGUAUUAAAUUGUAUAUAGUGAAUUUGGAUGCUAGGGAUAAUUCCUAUGAAACCUAAGACACUUGUGGUUGUUAUUGAAUUGGUCUCACAGCAUUUGGAUUAAUACAAAAAUAAUGGUUUAAUUUCCAAAUUGCAUGAAUUUUUGACAGGACAGAUUUGAGUAUGCCGUAUUGUGUGAUUUUUAGUAAAUCAUGGUUUUAUUCUUUGACUCCGAAAUUUUUAUCGUAUAUACUGGAUAUACAGGGGAGUAGUUCUGUAAAAUUUCAUGGCAAUUGGAUGUCUUUGGACAGCCCGUUUGUAUUUUACAAACGAAGCAUAUGCUGCUGGAAUGAGCAGUGAACAACAUAUGCUACACCCGACUUUCUGGAUUUAAUUCUCAAGUUAGGGUGUAUUUUUUGAGCUAUAAUUUAAUAUUCUCAUCCUUUGGUAUGUUGGAAGCAUAUAUAAAUUUUGUGGAUUGGUUUCUCUAUGGUUUGGCUGCAAAUGUGUUUGAUGAUUGUAUCAUAUGUUUUGGGGAACUUUAUGUGAUGGGAAUUAGGAUUUCCUUGAUUCUAAGAGAUAGGCUUUGAGAUGAAUGUGAAGUUUAUGAUAAGGAAUUAUGGAUAGUAAUAAGCUUUGAUAUUUGGUUUAGGUGUUACCAGUAUCCCAAGUUUAAGCUCCUUCGACUUUAGGCUCUCGGUUCCUCUGCUUUCAGUUAGCAGGUUUUAUUUCGGAGUAGAGGGAGCCUUAGUCGAGUUUUGAAAGGAGCUGGUUUUAGUUUGAUAUGUAUAGAUCCUAAAUUAGUAUUCUGACGUUUAGCUUUAUAGUUAUUGUGUAUUUUAGGAUCAAAUGAAAGUUGUGUAUACCUUAAAGUAUCAAGCUAUGUAUUAUGUAAAAGUGUGGAAAUUAAAUGAUUGGUGGAUUAUGUUA
Molecule: long non-coding RNA, 1370 nt
Organism: Quercus robur (English oak)
Lineage: Eukaryota; Viridiplantae; Streptophyta; Magnoliopsida; Fagales; Fagaceae
Exons: 2
Source: RefSeq, a predicted model, not a curated record